GAUGAACGCUGGCGGCGUGCCUAAUACAUGCAAGUCGAACGCAUAGCGAAAGGUGCUUGCACCUUUCAAGUGAGUGGCGAACGGGUGAGUAACACGUGGACAACCUGCCUCAAGGCUGGGGAUAACAUUUGGAAACAGAUGCUAAUACCGAAUAAAACUUAGUGUCGCAUGACACAAAGUUAAAAGGCGCUUCGGCGUCACCUAGAGAUGGAUCCGCGGUGCAUUAGUUAGUUGGUGGGGUAAAGGCCUACCAAGACAAUGAUGCAUAGCCGAGUUGAGAGACUGAUCGGCCACAUUGGGACUGAGACACGGCCCAAACUCCUACGGGAGGCUGCAGUAGGGAAUCUGCCGCAAUGGGCGAAAGCCUGAUGGAGCAACGCCGCGUGUGUGAUGAAGGCUUUCGGGUCGUAAAGCACUGUUGUAUGGGAAGAACAGCUAGAAUAGGAAAUGAUUUUAGUUUGACGGUACCAUACCAGAAAGGGACGGCUAAAUACGUG
Molecule: ribosomal RNA, 497 nt
Filed under: uncultured bacterium
Lineage: Bacteria
Description: partial 16S ribosomal RNA
Rfam family: Bacterial small subunit ribosomal RNA
Source: RNAcentral